RNAcentral lists this ribosomal RNA (485 nucleotides) under uncultured bacterium. RNAcentral's name for it is "bacterial SSU rRNA". It matches the Rfam family "Bacterial small subunit ribosomal RNA", at positions 57 to 518 of the family's 1533-position model. The record is from RNAcentral.
GCAAGUCGAACGGGAGUCCGGGAGGUAGCAAUACUUCCUGGUGAGAGUGGCGGAUGGGGAGGAACACGUGAGCAACCUGCCUUUGAGUCGGGGAAAACCGUUGGAAACGACGGCUAAUACCGGAUGUGGCGCCCGGAGACAUCUUCGGAGCGCUAAAGGGGGGCCGCAAGGCUCUCGCUCGUAGAGGGGCUCGCGCACCAUCAGCUUGUUGGCGGGGUAACGGCCCACCAAGGCCUACGGUUAGCUGGUCUGAGAGGAUGACCAGCCCCACUGGGACUGAGAUACUGCCCAGACUCCUACGGGAGGCCGCAGUCGAGGAUCAUUUGCAAUGGGCGAAAGCCUGACAAUGCGACGCUGCGUUGGGAGGAUGAAGGCCUUCGGGUUGUAAACUCCUGUCAUGGGGGAACAGGCGAGGGGACCCAACACGUCCCUUAGUUGAGUGUACCCCAAGAGGAAGCGACGGCUAACUCUGUGCCAGCCGCUGC